RNAcentral lists this ribosomal RNA (616 nucleotides) under Salmonella enterica. RNAcentral describes it as "partial 23S ribosomal RNA". It matches the Rfam family "Bacterial large subunit ribosomal RNA", at positions 1 to 655 of the family's 2925-position model. The record is from RNAcentral. Lineage: Bacteria; Pseudomonadati; Pseudomonadota; Gammaproteobacteria; Enterobacterales; Enterobacteriaceae.
GUUAAGCGACUAAGCGUACACGGUGGAUGCCCUGGCAGUCAGAGGCGAUGAAGGGCGUGCUAAUCUGCGAUAAGCGCCGGUAAGGUGAUAUGAACCGUUAUAACCGGCGAUACCCGAAUGGGGAAACCCAGUGUGACUCGUCACACUAUCAUUAACUGAAUCCAUAGGUUAAUGAGGCGAACCGGGGGAACUGAAACAUCUAAGUACCCCGAGGAAAAGAAAUCAACCGAGAUUCCCCCAGUAGCGGCGAGCGAACGGGGAGGAGCCCAGAGCCUGAAUCAGCAUGUGUGUUAGUGGAAGCGUCUGGAAAGGCGCGCGAUACAGGGUGACAGCCCCGUACACAAAAGCGCAUGUGCUGUGAGCUCGAUGAGUAGGGCGGGACACGUGGUAUCCUGUCUGAAUAUGGGGGGACCAUCCUCCAAGGCUAAAUACUCCUGACUGACCGAUAGUGAACCAGUACCGUGAGGGAAAGGCGAAAAGAACCCCGGCGAGGGGAGUGAAAAAGAACCUGAAACCGUGUACGUACAAGCAGUGGGAGCACAGGUUUACCUGUGUGACUGCGUACCUUUUGUAUAAUGGGUCAGCGACUUAUAUUCUGUAGCAAGGUUAACCGAAU